Molecule: ribosomal RNA, 200 nt
Filed under: uncultured bacterium
Lineage: Bacteria
Description: partial 16S ribosomal RNA
Rfam family: Bacterial small subunit ribosomal RNA
Source: RNAcentral
AUUGAACGCUGGCGGAAUGCUUUACACAUGCAAGUCGAACGGCAGCACGGGAGCUUGCUCCUGGUGGCGAGUGGCGAACGGGUGAGUAAUACAUCGGAACGUACCCAGUUAUGGGGGAUAACUAACCGAAAGGUUAGCUAAUACCGCAUACGCCCUGAGGGGAAAGCGGGGACCGUAAGGCCUCGCGUAAUUGGAGCGGC